Molecule: long non-coding RNA, 1408 nt
Organism: Pteropus alecto (black flying fox)
Lineage: Eukaryota; Metazoa; Chordata; Mammalia; Chiroptera; Pteropodidae
Exons: 2
Source: RefSeq, a predicted model, not a curated record
GAAGUAGCUCGAGGUCUUGACCCCUAAGCAGUCCGCGCAGCCUGAAGGAUGCUCGGGCCUCCGCUUUCGGCAGCACAGGCGAAGCCCGGAAGCGGGACCACGUCUGCUGGAGUCCGUACUGUGACAGCACUCUGCUGGCGUCCAUGUCUUAUCCUGGUCACGUCGUUAGGAGCCUGAACCGCCUUCUAACUCAACUAGCUGACUUUCUGGCUAGUGUUGCUGACUUCCCGGCCCAUAGGAGAGUCCUCAGUCUGGAGUGAUCACAAGAGUGCCAUCCUUGCAAGUCCCAGACGCAGCCCACACUCCAGGAGGGCCUUCUCUGCCUCCUCCAGGAACGCGCGGCUCCCUUUGACCUCACCACCACUCCGUUGGCCGCGCUGGGCACGUCACGCCCCCUCUGCCGCCUCGGUGAAUGCGCUGCGCCUUGACUCCGUCUCGGCGCCGGCGCCGUAGUCCACCCUGCGCGUUUGGUGGCUCCGAUGGCGGGCGUAUCCGAGAGGAAGCUGCAGCUCUGUGUGUUAUUGGCCUUCGCCUCCGGAGUGCUCGUGGGCUGGCAGGCGAACCGGCUGCGGAGGCGCUACCUGAACUGGAAGAAGCGGAGGCAGCAGGAGAAGCUGGCGGCGACGCAGAAAGAGCUAGACCUGGCCUGAGUCCCGUGCGGUAGGCCCCUGCUGGUCCCCGCGCUGCCACCCCCGUCUCGCCUGCGCGGGGAUCCGGCCUGAGACCACUGGCUUCACACCCCAUGCGGCCCGAGCCAGGCUCCUGCCGGAGUGUCGGUGAGCAGUCCUUAGUGGCUGUCGCAGGAAACUGGAGGAGAAAGUUCUGUUUUACCCAACAACUUCCAUUUUGGUGUCCUAGUUCAGUUCAUUGGCAAGUGUUUACUGGAAAUGUCUUACCACGUGCGAUGUCGCAGGUUGACAGCGUUCAACUUCAAGGUGUAAAUACUGGAAAGGAGAUGGAAGAAAAGAACGGACUGUGGAGGUGUUCCUGCCACCAUUUCCCCCCUUAUCAUUCUUUUCAAUAAUAUCCUUGGUAGAGCCAUAGUACAUCUUUGCAUUCCUGUUUUGUAAUCUCCAGUCGGAAUUCUUAGGUUAUUGGCACCCUGGUAAAGUGGAAGGAGCAAUGCCCUGGAAGUCAGGAGCCUUGCAUCUAGUCUUGGCUUUUUUAUCAGAGCUGCGCAAGUUUUCAGGGUCUCGGUUUUCUUACCUUUACCACCAGCUCUUAUAGUUCAUGGUAUAACUUCACACUAAGAUAGCUUGAAGUUAAUGAUUAUGUACGUCUAAUUUUUUUCACUCUUUUCUGUUGCCAACAGCUUGUCGAAGAUGGAUGUAAAGCACUGAACAGAAAUCAUUUUUCCCUGCACUUUAUGAAUCAAUUUUAUUUUUAAAAUAAAAAUGUUUUAAACAUC